CCAUUUUACAGAUAUGAAAGCUGAGGUUGU
Molecule: non-coding RNA, 30 nt
Filed under: Mus musculus (house mouse)
Lineage: Eukaryota; Metazoa; Chordata; Mammalia; Rodentia; Muridae
Also listed under: 1 other name
Source: RNAcentral